UAUUCCUGCGCCUCUCGUAUUUUUUAGAACCAGAAAUAACACGCUACAAUGGGGAUAAAGAACGUAAGCAAAAAUGUCGGCAUGAGUCGCAUUAUUUUAUAUAUUAAAUAGGGAGGCCUAUCCCAUUUUUGGAGAGGAAUCUGGCGUCAAGAGGGGAUGAAAGAGGAGCCGUUACAGAGACUGAAGCCUCGACCCAUCACCGGAGUUACCAUAACAUAAACAAUAGUUCGAGUACCCUUGGAUGAUGUGUCCUUUAUAGCACUUUAAACGUCUUAUAAGUGAAAUGUAUGUUAAUCUCGGUUGGUCUGUUUAUCAGUUACACAAACUGUGACUUUCUCUGAAGUACUUGAGAUGGGCACCUAUGGCAUAUUAUUUAGCAAAGAAGAGUGGAGGUGAAAAACAGGCUCAUUAUGUACUGGUCCUAACUAUGUUCUGUUGUCAAAGAAAAAGCCUCUCAAAGUCAGCAGUUCUCUUAGAGGGAGACAGAAAAUUGGAUGGCAAGAUAAAGUGAAGGAAGAUAUGGAGAGAAGAGGUUUGGUGAAUGAUGAGGCCUUUGAUAGAAGGCAGUGGAGAAGGCGCAUCAGGCAACCGACCCCAUAAUGUAGGGAUAACAGUGGGAAAGAAGAAGAAGAAGGUUUCCUUCCAGGAGCAGCCAAAUUUAUGUACACCCAUAGACGUAUUACCAGACACCUGCCCAACAAUCUACAAUCCUUCAAAAAAUGAAUAACUUUUGGUUAAUAGCAUCUGUAUAAAGUUGAAAAUCUACCCAUAGAAGAAUUGUCUGCCAGAAAUCAUAACAUCCCUUAUACCUGCUGGUAUUGUCAGGCCAGCUUUGUCUAACAGACAACAUCAAGCUUUGUCUGAUCUGUCGCUGACUUUCCUUUCAUGCUAAAAUUUUGUUUUGAGAGGAAUUUCAUUAUGACUUCUGCACCUAUGCAGCCUAUUCUGGGGGUUAUAUUUUUAUGUACAGAUGAUAUGUAUCAGUUCUGAAUAUUCGUCAGUUUUUAGAUAAUAUUUCAAAGAUACCUUUGUAUCUAUGAGAUGGCAGUCACUGGAAAGGUUCUUGGUAAAUAAUAAUUUUUUUUCUAUAUGCUCUGUAAUGACUGCAGAGUUAUACUGCUAAAAUUCAUAACGUAAUAAUUUUUCUUCUAUUGUCAGUGUCCAAGCCUCAAGUUCUUUGUCCCGGAGACUGCUCCCUUCUGGAGAAGAUCCCUGGAGUAAUCCAUCAACCCUUGGGUUGGAUGCUGAUAGAUGGAUACUAUGCUUUCCGCUCAGCUGCUGAACCCCCAACGAUGUUAAAAGAGAUACAGCCUGCCUCCUAUUUGAGGAACUUCAUUGAGAUGAUGAGGGUCGGGUUCCUUUCCUGACCAUGCACCUCUAGCUCGCCCUUGGGCUCCGGUUCCUCCACGCUGACGAAAGGGGCCUCUAGCCCUGCAACCCCUAGCAACCUUGGUAAAAAGUUUAAAUACCCGAUUCUCAUAGACCGGGUUAAAAGCAGGCGACACUGAAUACAGUUGGGGAACCUGUUGGCUAGCCGACGGCGAAAGGAAGACAAAUUGAUGCUGUUGCCGAGGCUGAGCCUUAGAAGAUGAAGGUUGGGGAACUUGCUGAAUUAGAACAGCUUGUAGCACAGGAUGCUGUUGCGGAACUUGGAAAGGUUGGUACCUUCUUUGACCCUUCCUAGCCCUAAAACUGGAGGAAGAAGACUCUAAUUUCCUUUUGAAAGGAAUGCCCCAACGCAAUCUGAUGCUUUGAUUAAAACGUGAUGCCUCGUUCUGAACCUCGUUUACUGCCGAAGCUGGGAAGAGAUCUGUACCCCAGAUUGAGGAAGCCAGAAGCUUGUUGGGUUCGUGCCUGAUCGUAGCCUCGGAUAGAACAUGCUUCCUGCCAUUUCUCUUAGUAACCGCAAAGCCGAACGAGUCACAUUGCAUGCUUAAAAGUAACUACUCCGCAAUGACCUUAAACAGCGGUUCAUGAGCGUACUCCAGAGCCGCCGUCUCCGUCAUCACUAGAGAGUUAAGAGACCUUGCAAGACGUGUC
This is a long non-coding RNA of Macrobrachium nipponense, 2040 nucleotides long. RefSeq lists it as uncharacterized. The record is from RefSeq and is a predicted model, not a curated record. Lineage: Eukaryota; Metazoa; Arthropoda; Malacostraca; Decapoda; Palaemonidae. The transcript has 4 exons.